AACGGUCUAUACCUGCGGUACCUGCGGAGGGAUCAUUACCGAGUGAGGGCCCUCUGGGUCCAACCUCCCACCCGUGUUUAUCGUACCUUGUUGCUUCGGCGGGCCCGCCGUCACGGCCGCCGGGGGGCACCCGCCCCCGGGCCCGCGCCCGCCGAAGACACCCCUGAACGCUGUCUGAAGAUUGCAGUCUGAGCGAUUAGCUAAAUCAGUUAAAACUUUCAACAACGGAUCUCUAGAUCG
This 240-nucleotide unclassified non-coding RNA is filed under the name soil metagenome. RNAcentral's name for it is "partial contains 5.8S ribosomal RNA, internal transcribed spacer 2, and large subunit ribosomal RNA". The record is from RNAcentral.